UGAGAAGUUGGUCCAUUGAUCCUUUCUACUGAAGGUAAUGCGUACCUCAGACCAUUUGAGAGGUGUGGGGGUGGCUGGUUCGAUAGCCAUGAUUUCUCUAAGUACUAAUUUGUUGGAUCGCUUAGAGGUAGUGCCUGGAAUUCCGCCGAAAAUGAUGUUGACAGUUUUAGACAUUGUCUGGAACUUGUCUUCGCCAUCUUCAGUUUCAUCCAUCUUACCCUUGCCUUUGUCCUUAUUGUUGUUAUUGUUAUUGUUGUUGGUGGGAGGUUCUGGCAACUCUUGCAUAACUCUGCGAAGGCUGUAGCAGUCUAUUGCAGUGUGCUUGCUGUGUGGGUGCCGUGGACAUUGUUUCUUGAGUAGUUCAUUGAAUGAAGGGCCAUCAUUUCAUUUGUUUGGUCCUUUCUUGCUUGAGUUUGACAUUGCUGCAAUGGUAUUGUCUGGUUUACGCUUGCGAUUCUGAUUGCCUGAAUAGUUGUUUCAGUGAUCGCCGUUCCGGUUUCUAUCUUGUUCUUGAUUGUUACCUUGGUUAUUGUUGUCACGUCUGUGAUUGCGAUGUAAGUCAAACCUUUCGUGUUCCUUAUCUUCUUGGUCUACCCAUGAAUGAGCCAUAAUUUUGAGUUCUUUGACAUCCGCUGGAUGGCGUCUCCAAAGUCUUGGAACAUGCAUCGGUCCCAGAGGCUGUUUUGAAAACAUUCUAUCAUGUCUGCUUCUGAGAUGUCGACAAUUGUAGCCUUUUUGUCGAAAAAACUGUAUAGGUAGUUGCACAGGGAUUCAUCCUUUUGCUGCUUAACCUGAGCCAAGUCAAUUCUAUUGUCAGAGCGCUGCAUAGCUCCAGCGUAGUUGCUUGUAAAAACUUUCUUUAGAUC
RNAcentral lists this long non-coding RNA (866 nucleotides) under Setaria viridis. Its description in RNAcentral is "long non-coding RNA (SVIR_LNC005754)". The record is from RNAcentral. Lineage: Eukaryota; Viridiplantae; Streptophyta; Magnoliopsida; Poales; Poaceae.